GAUGAACGCUGGCGGCGUGCUUAACACAUGCAAGUCGAACGAGGAAGCCCAGCUUGCUGGGUGGAUUAGUGGCGAACGGGUGAGUAACACGUGAGUAACCUGCCCUUGACUCUGGGAUAAGCCUGGGAAACUGGGUCUAAUACUGGAUAUGACUUCUCAUCGCAUGGUGGGGGGUGGAAAGAUUUAUUGGUCUUGGAUGGACUCGCGGCCUAUCAGCUUGUUGGUGAGGUAAUGGCUCACCAAGGCGACGACGGGUAGCCGGCCUGAGAGGGUGACCGGCCACACUGGGACUGAGACACGGCCCAGACUCCUACGGGAGGCAGCAGUGGGGAAUAUUGCACAAUGGGCGCAAGCCUGAUGCAGCGACGCCGCGUGAGGGAUGACGGCCUUCGGGUUGUAAACCUCUUUCAGUAGGGAAGAAGCGAGAGUGACGGUACCUGCAGAAGAAGCGCCGGCUAACUACGUG
This 466-nucleotide ribosomal RNA is filed under the name uncultured bacterium. RNAcentral's name for it is "partial 16S ribosomal RNA". It matches the Rfam family "Bacterial small subunit ribosomal RNA", at positions 28 to 507 of the family's 1533-position model. The record is from RNAcentral.